CGAGUAACCUGCCCUUAACUCUGGGAUAAGCCUGGGAAACUGGGUCUAAUACCGGAUAUGACUCCUCAUCGCAUGGUGGGGGGUGGAAAGCUUUUUUGUGGUUUUGGAUGGGCUCGCGGCCUAUCAGCUUGUUGGUGAGGUAAUGGCUCACCAAGGCUUCGACGGGUAGCCGGCCUGAGAGGGCGACCGGCCACACUGGGACUGAGACACGGCCCAGACUCCUACGGGAGGCAG
Molecule: ribosomal RNA, 234 nt
Filed under: uncultured bacterium
Lineage: Bacteria
Description: partial 16S ribosomal RNA
Rfam family: Bacterial small subunit ribosomal RNA
Source: RNAcentral